GCAAGUAUGCAUACUGCUAUUUUCCGUUUCUUUUUUUACUUUAGCGCCUGAACUUGGGGUGGCUUUGCGCGUAAGAAAAGAAACGAAAAGUAGCGCCUAAGCCUCCCACAGGGAGGCUUUUUUGUU
Brenneria sp. EniD312 is the source of this 126-nucleotide non-coding RNA. The record is from Rfam. Lineage: Bacteria; Pseudomonadati; Pseudomonadota; Gammaproteobacteria; Enterobacterales; Pectobacteriaceae.